GCAGGCUGCAACUCGCCUGCAUGAAGUUGGAAUUGCUAGUAAUCGCGAAUCAGCAUGCCGCGGUGAAUACGUUCCCGGGCCUUGUACACACCGCCCGUCACACCAUGAGAGUUGGGAAUACCCGAAGCCUGUGAGCUAACAUUUAUGAGGCAGCAGUCGAAGGUAGAAUCAAUGAUUGGGGUGAAGUCGUAACAAGGUAUC
This 201-nucleotide ribosomal RNA is filed under the name uncultured bacterium. Its description in RNAcentral is "partial 16S ribosomal RNA". It matches the Rfam family "Bacterial small subunit ribosomal RNA", at positions 1300 to 1500 of the family's 1533-position model. The record is from RNAcentral.